Cavia porcellus (domestic guinea pig) is the source of this 2485-nucleotide long non-coding RNA. RefSeq lists it as uncharacterized. The record is from RefSeq and is a predicted model, not a curated record. Lineage: Eukaryota; Metazoa; Chordata; Mammalia; Rodentia; Caviidae. The transcript is spliced from 2 exons.
GUGAGCAUAGCUGCCUUCCAAGCAGUUGACCCGGGUUCGAUUCCCGGCCAACGCAGCGAUUUCUUUUUUUUUUUACUCCUGACUUUUGGUGGUCGGGUAAAGCCCCACAGCACAGGACAAAGCAAAAAAGGCCAUUGACCACCAGUAGGUCCCGAGUCCGCGGCCUGGUAGAUGAAGUAUCUCCCAAGAGUAACUCUUGGUGUUGUCUGUGGCUCCACAUGCAAGGCAAGUGUGAGCGUGUCCGCUGCGAUCCACCGCUGCACUCACAGCGACUUAGGGUAAUUCUCUUCUUGGGAAGUGUCUAGAGGCUGGCUCGGUUUGUUUUUUGAAUCUUCAGGGGCGGUUUCGAGGAAGCAGGCUAAGUCAGCAGCAAAAACGCCCUUGGUUUCUGAAAACUGGAGGGGGAGAAAGAAACCCUGUGCUCAAGCAGUUCCUCGCGGUCCACGCCGUACGUCGCUCGCCGCUCCUUUCCGGGUCCGCCAUUCUGGAAACUUAAACCGAGCUUCCAGAGCACAGGCUGGAGGUGUAAACAGGAAAAUCCUUGGUGCGGCCUCUUGAACUCCAGAGCAGGACGGUCUAAUUCUUUGGAGGGGCAAAAGGAGGGUGACUGGGCGCGCGGCCCCGGCCUACAGCUGCCUCUUUGUGUCCAGGACCUGACGCGAAGGAUUCCGGAUUCCAGGUCUUCUACGCGGGAGGGGUGUCGGGGCCUCUGUGUCGCGCAGUAGAGACAGAGCCGCGCAGAGCCGACCUAUUUCAAAAUGCAUUAAAUUGAACCUCCCCUCAUUACUUUGCAGGUGGCUCGCCGUGAUCGUAUAGUGGUUAGUACUCUGCGUUGUGGCCGCAGCAACCUCGGUUCGAAUCCGAGUCACGGCAUAAGAGUUGGUUUUUUUUUUUUUUUUUUUUUUUUCCUUGUAAGGCUCGGUUUACUUCCGUUUAAACUUUAGGUUUUAAAAAAUUAGGGCCUCCAACAUGUUGCCCGACCCGGCACCUCCUCAGACGUUAGAAAACCAAGAGCCCAGAGCAUGAAGUGAGAGCUGCCUCCUGCGAGGCCAGCGCCCGAGACUCGGAACCCUGCGGGCUUUCAUUGCGGUGGAACCCGUGCACUUGACGACCUUGGCCUUUUGCGCAGGCAACUGAGACUUUGAGUACUUAAAAGCAAACUUGUGUCCCAGAGUAGUGAACAAGGGCCUGUUUUACCUCACACACGCCCGCUACCCUACCCCACCCCCAUCCACCCCAUCUUGGUUUAGACAGGCAACGGGUUGUGGAGCCUGAAGGAAGCACCGGUUGCAGCCGCCCAGCACGAUUCUCCCGCGCGCCUGCUUCCCUCCGGCCUCAUUCAGGUCUCCUCGCGCCCUUUCGCUUCUCCUUCAGCUCCGGGCGGAAACCCGCCAUCAGAGUGACCUGGUCCAGGAAGAAUGUGAGGAAAUGGCAAGGUUUGUGACUUGGCGCUGGCACUUGGCCCUGCCCAGUCUUUGUCAAGCCUCGGGGUCAGGGGUUAAAAACUAUCACUGAAAGGCUAGUGCGGCCACUAAAUCCCACAACAUAAAAUUACGUCAAAUAGUGUCAACUAGAGAAGCAGAUAAACAAUUAGGGGGAAAAGCGUGCCAGCGCCCGGCUAGCUCAGUCGGUAGAGCAUGAGACUCUUAAUCUCAGGGUCGUGGGUUCGAGCCCCACGUUGGGCGGGUGUUUUUUUUUUUCCCUCUCCACUCUAAUCGAAAUGUAUUAAGUCCUUACUCACAGAAGAGGACAAACAAAAUCACGAGCUUCUAAAUCCCCGCUGCAGCCAUAAUUUCAAAUUUGGGGAAAUGAUUUCAGAGGCGGCGGCAGCUACUGCAUCUUCUUUUCCUCCUGCUCGUGCUCCUCUUCUGCUGCUUUUUUUUUUUUUUUUUUUAAACACAAAUUCAUAAAAAGCAAAACAAAACAGGAAUCUGAACGUUGAGUACCAGCAUCCGUGAAGACCAGAGGCUCUGGCAAGAUCUCCGACUCCUCCUGGGGAGGUGGUGGGAUGAGCCGUGCCUCUGAGCCAGUAAUUUCCCGGCUUCUUUCAUCCCACCUCGCUGAUGCAUAAAGACGACUUAAAAUGCAAACACUCGUUUUCUUCUCCUUGAAGUGCAACAUCAAAAGUUCUAUGGCAACCUCUUUGCAAGAUUACAGAAGGAUAUUCACUGUCAAAGAGAAGACAUGAACAGAUAGAAGACCACUGAUGCAUGAAGCAGAUGCUCUCAAAAGAGAGCCAAUGACCUCUCAGUGCAGGGAUGAAAAGACAUAGCAUGACAUCAGCUAUGGGAUAGGCCCAAAGAUGAAGACCAGGCAGGAGCAAAGAUUUAUUGGGUAGAUAAGGAAAUGUAUGUGUUUUGAAUGUGUUGAGGGGAGAUUUACAAAACUGAGGAAAAACUGAUAUUAGUUCAACAAUAAAUACAUGGAAAACGAAGCAAAUGCAAUAAUAACAUUAUUGCAAAUAAACAUUACUGUACAAAGCCAA